RNAcentral lists this ribosomal RNA (473 nucleotides) under uncultured organism. RNAcentral describes it as "partial 16S ribosomal RNA". It matches the Rfam family "Bacterial small subunit ribosomal RNA", at positions 334 to 798 of the family's 1533-position model. The record is from RNAcentral.
CACUCCUACGGGAGGCAGCAGUGGGGAAUAUUGCACAAUGGGCGCAAGCCUGAUGCAGCCAUGCCGCGUGUAUGAAGAAGGCCUUCGGGUUGUAAAGUACUUUCAGCGGGGAGGAAGGCGAUAAGGUUAAUAACCUUGUCGAUUGACGUUACCCGCAGAAGAAGCACCGGCUAACUCCGUGCCAGCAGCCGCGGUAAUACGGAGGGUGCAAGCGUUAAUCGGAAUUACUGGGCGUAAAGCGCACGCAGGCGGUCUGUCAAGUCGGAUGUGAAAUCCCCGGGCUCAACCUGGGAACUGCAUUCGAAACUGGCAGGCUAGAGUCUUGUAGAGGGGGGUAGAAUUCCAGGUGUAGCGGUGAAAUGCGUAGAGAUCUGGAGGAAUACCGGUGGCGAAGGCGGCCCCCUGGACAAAGACUGACGCUCAGGUGCGAAAGCGUGGGGAGCAAACAGGAUUAGAAACCCGUGUAGUCUCAU